UUGAACGCUGGCGGCAUGCCUUACACAUGCAAGUCGCACGGCAGCACGGGUGCUUGCACCUGGUGGCGAGUGGCGAACGGGUGAGUAAUACAUCGGAACAUGUCCUGUAGUGGGGGAUAGCCCGGCGAAAGCCGGAUUAAUACCGCAUACGAUCUACGGAUGAACUCGGGGGACCUUCGGGCCUCGCGCUAUAGGGUUGGCCGAUGGCUGAUUAGCUAGUUGGUGGGGUAAAGGCCUACCAAGGCGACGAUCAGUAGCUGGUCUGAGAGGACGACCAGCCACACUGGGACUGAGACACGGCCCAGACUCCUACGGGAGGCAGCAGUGGGGAAUUUUGGACAAUGGGCGAAAGCCUGAUCCAGCAAUGCCGCGUGUGUGAAGAAGGUCUUCGGGUUGUAAAGCACUUUUGGCCGGAAAGAAAUCCUUGGCGCUAAUACGGUCGUGUGAUGACGGUACCGGAAGAAUAAGCACCGGCUAACUACGUG
Molecule: ribosomal RNA, 485 nt
Filed under: uncultured bacterium
Lineage: Bacteria
Description: partial 16S ribosomal RNA
Rfam family: Bacterial small subunit ribosomal RNA
Source: RNAcentral